This 473-nucleotide ribosomal RNA is filed under the name uncultured bacterium. Its description in RNAcentral is "partial 16S ribosomal RNA". It matches the Rfam family "Bacterial small subunit ribosomal RNA", at positions 356 to 824 of the family's 1533-position model. The record is from RNAcentral.
UAGGAAUCUCCACAAUGGACGCAAGUCUGAUGGAGCAACGCCGCGUGAGUGAAGAAGGUUUUCGGACCGUAAAGCUCUGUUGUUGGUGAAGAAGGAUAGAGGUAGUAACUGGCCUUUAUUUGACGGUAAUCAACCAGAAAGUCACGGCUAACUACGUGCCAGCAGCCGCGGUAAUCGUAGGUGGCAAGCGUUGUCCGGAUUUAUUGGGCGUAAAGCGAGCGCAGGCGGAAGAAUAAGUCUGAUGUGAAAGCCCUCGGCUUAACCGAGGAAUUGCAUCGGAAACUGUUUUCUUGAGUGCAGAAGAGGAGAGUAGAACUCCAUGUGUAGCGGUGGAAUGCGUAGAUAUAUGGAAGAAUACCAGUGGCGAAGGCGGCUCUCUGGUCUGCAACUGACGCUGAGGCUCGAAAGCAUGGGUAGCGAACAGGAUUAGAUACCCUGGUAGUCCAUGCCGUAAACGAUGAGUGCUAAGUGUU